GCACGGCCAGGGAUAUGGCAGGACCAGGGCUAGGGCCAGGGCCAGGCCAUAGUGAGGGCAGGGCAAAAGCCCAGGUAGGGUCAGGGCAGGUCCAGGGAGUGACCAGCACCAAGAGGGGCCAAGGCACAACCAGCGCACGGUAAGGCAGAGCAAUGGCACCACUGGGCCAUGACAGGGCAAGGUCAGUGCCAGGAGAGGGCAGAACAGGCAGGCCCAUGGUGGGGCCAGGCCAGGGAUGGGCCAAAGCAGGUCCAGGACAUGUCCAAGGCCAGGUCAGGGUCAGAACAGGAGCGGGACCAUGACAAUUGGCAGGGCCAGUGCCAUGACAGGACCAGGGUCAGGACAAGGGGCAGGGCCAGAGCCAGGGCCAGAGUCAAGGUCAGGCCAGUGCAGGUUCAGGGAAGGGCCAGUGCCAGGGCAAGACCAGGGCAGGGACAGGGUAGCACAGGGCCAAGACAGGGUCAGGAUGGGACCAGAGCAGGACGGGGCUGAGAGUCCAG
This 500-nucleotide long non-coding RNA is filed under the name Homo sapiens (human). RNAcentral's name for it is "HSALNT0288834". Lineage: Eukaryota; Metazoa; Chordata; Mammalia; Primates; Hominidae. The record is from RNAcentral.